Drosophila suzukii is the source of this 440-nucleotide non-coding RNA. NCBI's taxonomy places the organism in Eukaryota, Metazoa, Arthropoda, Insecta, Diptera, Drosophilidae. The record is from RefSeq and is a predicted model, not a curated record.
UGCCAGGCGACGAGGGAAAGCAAAUUAAUCAACGAUAAGCUCUGAUAGAAACGUGCCAGAUAAAGUGGAGCUGUGACUGAAACAGCUCGGUGAGCACAAUUGCUUUGUUUUAUGGGGGUGUCGCAAUUUCGCAAUUAUUCACCCGAAUUAUCAGACGCCCCCAAAAGGGAAACCACUCUAUUUUUUCUGCCUCCAGCACGGCACCAAGGGAUUCGGUGUUGGGAGUGGGGUAGCCGAAUAAAUUGCAAUUCAUUCAGCCCAUUGGAUAUGCUAAAUUAUGCAAUGUUGCGUAUGCUCGAUGAAACAGUUUUAGAAACUAUUUGCCCUCUUACCCGCUAUGAAAGUCACGCACUGGAGUGAACACUGUAGUCAGUAAUGUACCAGGUGAUAACUCAAUUAACGGAAAACUCGCGGACAACUCCGGCCCACUCAACGAUCAA